Molecule: non-coding RNA, 1449 nt
Organism: Ictidomys tridecemlineatus (thirteen-lined ground squirrel)
Lineage: Eukaryota; Metazoa; Chordata; Mammalia; Rodentia; Sciuridae
Source: RefSeq, a predicted model, not a curated record
GUGACACUGAGAGUCAGUUGAAGGAGUGAUACUAACUUUUUACUUUUUCUUGGACAGGUAUCACCAAUCCUGUCAAGUUGACGCCAUCACACUGACCAAACUCAGGAAAUACAGGUAUCUAUGACAAAUAUGGAGACAAGAUCAGCAGUAAGAAGACCUAAACAAAACAAAACAAGAAAUCUCCACCUGAGUUGCAUCGCCAUCCAUACAGUGUUUUCCUUACAGGAAACUUUUACUAGCAGCACUCUCCCAGGAGACACAAGGAGGCAUUCUGUUUGACAGUUCUGAUGCACUGUGCCGUUCACAGGUGCAGAAAUUAUCCUGGCAGUCAAAUUCAGGCACUUGUCCUAGGUGUGUGCACACUUUUUCAACACAAAACUUCAUUUUGCAGUUGUAUUUAGAAGUACCUCUGGAGAAAUCUUAAAGUCCAACAGUUUUGUACCAAACAUUUCUAAUUUUUAUAGCCAAAUCAAAGAUUAAAUCUUCAUCUUUUCAUGAGAAUACAUGAAUUGCCAUAGCUGGUAACUCUAGAGAAAUUCUGUUUAGACAUCUUCUAUGUAGUUUCUUACACCAGUAUUUAUUUAUUUAUCAUUAUGGCAGAACACCAUAAGCUGUUUCUUCUUGAAGGUUCUCAGACUUUUUACCAUUUUCCAAAAGGGAUGUAUGAGAAACAAAGGUGGGGGGGCAGGUUUUAUGUCUUCAAAAUGGGAAAGUAAUAACUGAUUUUUCAUGCAUAAUGAACAUUUUGUUAUUAGAGUCUCUCAGCUUCUUCAAAGAGCAAUUUCACCCAUGAAUCAGCUUCACAGAGUUUUAGAACUAUAUCAGACCUCAAAGGCAAUAUGAUCCAAUUUCUCUAUUAAAGAAUUAAAGGAGGGCUAGGGUUGUGCCUUACACUAGUACGUGUAAGGCAGUGGGUUUGAUCAUCAGCAUCACAUUAAAUAAAUAAGUAAAUAAAGUCAAAAACAUUAAAGGAAAACUAGCAAGGCAAAGUGACUUGCCCAAGGUCACAUACUAAUUCAUGCUAAACCAGGGAUAGAAUCAAUUUUAUUAACUUUCUAUUUAGGAAAUUCUACUCUUUUGACAUAUCUUGUAUGGGAAAAAGUCUGACUGUAGUUAGGAAGGCGUCAUUUUAUCAUUUAAAUACAAGGGAAAUAAUUCUCAGUGGUUUCAAGCUUUUCUCUUGCUGAUCUCUGUGCUAAAGAACUGCAGGUGUAAUUUAAGAAGAAAGGGAGGGGAACUGACCUCUAGUUGGGUCUUUCUAAAAUGGCCUUUGCAUAGAUAGACUGAAAAUAAACAAACCAAUAAAUCAGCGACCCUAUCUUUAAAAAUAUAGUUAGAUUUUAGGUUAAUUUUUUUCAGUGGUGAAGAGAGCAGAAGUCUCUUUUGUUUAAGCCUCAUGAUCACAGCAGUUAAUCAAAUACUUCUGGCAAACUUUGAAAGAAUAUUUGU